GAAUUCGCCCUUAGAGUUUGAUCCUGGCUCAGGAUGAACGCUGGCGGCGUGCUUAACACAUGCAAGUCGAGCGAGAAAAGUUCUUCGGAGCUUUUCUAGCGGCGGACGGGUGAGUAACACGUGGGCAACCUGCCUCAUAGAGGGGAAUAGCCUUCCGAAAGGAAGAUUAAUACCGCAUAACAUUGUUGAAAGGCAUCUUUUAACAAUCAAAGGAGCAAUCCGCUAUGAGAUGGGCCCGCGGCGCAUUAGCUAGUUGGUGAGGUAACGGCUCACCAAGGCGACGAUGCGUAGCCGACCUGAGAGGGUGAUCGGCCACAUUGGAACUGAGACACGGUCCAGACUCCUACGGGAGGCAGCAGUGGGGAAUAUUGCACAAUGGGGGAAACCCUGAUGCAGCAACGCCGCGUGAGUGAUGAAGGUCUUCGGAUUGUAAAGCUCUGUCUUUAGGGACGAUAAUGACGGUACCUAAGGAGGAAGCCACGGCUAACUACGUGCCAGCAGCCGCGGUAAUACGUAGGUGGCAAGCGUUAUCCGGAUUUACUGGGCGUAAAGGGAGCGUAGGCGGAUAUUUAAGUGGGAUGUGAAAUACCCGAGCUUAACUUGGGAGCUGCAUUCCAAACUGGAUAUCUAGAGUGCAGGAGAGGAGAAUGGAAUUCCUAGUGUAGCGGUGAAAUGCGUAGAGAUUAGGAAGAACACCAGUGGCGAAGGCGAUUCUCUGGACUGUAACUGACGCUGAGGCUCGAAAGCGUGGGGAGCAAACAGGAUUAGAUACCCUGGUAGUCCACGCCGUAAACGGGGAAUACUAGGUGUAGGGGCCCCCAGCCUCUGGGCCGC
RNAcentral lists this ribosomal RNA (834 nucleotides) under uncultured bacterium. Its description in RNAcentral is "bacterial SSU rRNA". It matches the Rfam family "Bacterial small subunit ribosomal RNA", at positions 1 to 849 of the family's 1533-position model. The record is from RNAcentral.